Molecule: ribosomal RNA, 550 nt
Filed under: Lampanyctus crocodilus (jewel lanternfish)
Lineage: Eukaryota; Metazoa; Chordata; Actinopteri; Myctophiformes; Myctophidae
Description: partial 16S ribosomal RNA
Rfam family: Bacterial large subunit ribosomal RNA
Source: RNAcentral
CCGCCUGCCCUGUGACUAUAUGUUUAACGGCCGCGGUAUUUUGACCGUGCGAAGGUAGCGCAAUCACUUGUCUUUUAAAUGGAGACCUGUAUGAAAGGCAUCACGAGGGCUUAGCUGUCUCCCCUUUAAAGUCAAUGAAAUUGAUCUCCCCGUGCAGAAGCGGGGAUAUACUCGUAAGACGAGAAGACCCUAUGGAGCUUAAGAUAAAAGGCGAGUCAUGUCAAACACCCCCCAAAGGAAAUGAACGAAAUGAUACCCCGCUGGAAUGUCUUCGGUUGGGGCGACCGCGGGGAAAGACAAAACCCCCACAUGGACCAGGGCCACUAUAGCCCUAAAACCUAGACCCACAGGUCAAGUCAACAGUAAAUCUGACCACCAAAGAGCCGGCAAUGCCGAUCAACGGACCGAGUUACCCUAGGGAUAACAGCGCAAUCCCCUCCCAGAGCCCUUAUCGACGAGGGGGUUUACGACCUCGAUGUUGGAUCAGGACAUCCUAAUGGUGCAGCCGCUAUUAAGGGUUCGUUUGUUCAACGAUUAAAGUCCUACGUGA